GAUGAACGCUGGCGGCGUGCCUAACACAUGCAAGUCGAGCGAACCCUUCGGGGUGAGCGGCGGACGGGUGAGUAACGCGUGGGUAACCUGCCCUGUACACACGGAUAACAUACCGAAAGGUAUGCUAAUACGAGAUAACAUGUAAUGAUCGCAUGGUCGAUACAUCAAAGCUCCGGCGGUACAGGAUGGACCCGCGUCUGAUUAGCUAGUUGGUGAGGUAAUGGCUCACCAAGGCGACGAUCAGUAGCCGACCUGAGAGGGUGAUCGGCCACAUUGGAACUGAGACACGGUCCAAACUCCUACGGGAGGCAGCAGUGGGGAAUAUUGCACAAUGGGCGAAAGCCUGAUGCAGCAACGCCGCGUGAGCGAUGAAGGCCUUCGGGUCGUAAAGCUCUGUCCUCAAGGAAGAUAAUGACGGUACUUGAGGAGGAAGCCCCGGCUAACUACGUGCCAGCCGCCGCCGUAA
Molecule: ribosomal RNA, 466 nt
Filed under: uncultured bacterium
Lineage: Bacteria
Description: partial 16S ribosomal RNA
Rfam family: Bacterial small subunit ribosomal RNA
Source: RNAcentral